Molecule: long non-coding RNA, 291 nt
Organism: Budorcas taxicolor (takin)
Lineage: Eukaryota; Metazoa; Chordata; Mammalia; Artiodactyla; Bovidae
Exons: 4
Source: RefSeq, a predicted model, not a curated record
GCGCCGGGAGGCGAGGCGGGGAGCGCGAGCGGCGGCCACCGCCACGUCUUCCCGGCAGCGGCGGCGCGGGCGGAGCCUGGAGUGGAUGCGCAGUGGCUCCACGUGGAGCAGCCUUACUUGAAGAAUACCCCCAGGAUCUCUCCUUGCCGUGGGAAUAAUCCAAAUCACCUUUCCUGGAAGUCAGUUUGCUGAAACUACUGAAGCAGCAGUUCCUGGAAGUUGAAGAAAAGGAGAUCCGGCGCCUUGACCUGAGGGGUGUGGUCCUCCCGUCGGAACCGGCUCCAGACGCGC